AGAGUUUGAUCCUGGCUCAGAUUGAACGCUGGCGGCAGGCCUAACACAUGCAAGUCGAGCGGACGAGUGGAGCUUGCUCCAUGAUUCAGCGGCGGACGGGUGAGUAAUGCCUAGGAAUCUGCCUGGUAGUGGGGGACAACGUUUCGAAAGGAACGCUAAUACCGCAUACGUCCUACGGGAGAAAGCAGGGGACCUUCGGGCCUUGCGCUAUCAGAUGAGCCCAGGUCGGAUUAGCUAGUUGGUGAGGUAACGGCUCACCAAGGCGACGAUCCGUAACUGGUCUGAGAGGAUGAUCAGUCACACUGGAACUGAGACACGGUCCAGACUCCUACGGGAGGCAGCAGUGGGGAAUAUUGGACAAUGGGCGAAAGCCUGAUCCAGCCAUGCCGCGUGUGUGAAGAAGGUCUUCGGAUUGUAAAGCACUUUAAGUUGGGAGGAAGGGCAGUAAGUUAAUACCUCGCUGUUUUGACGUUACCGACAGAAUAAGCACCGGCUAACUUCGUGCCAGCAGCCGCGGUAAUACGAAGGGUGCAAGCGUUAAUCGGAAUUACUGGGCGUAAAGCGCGCGUAGGUGGUUCAGCAAGUUGGAUGUGAAAGCCCCGGGCUCAACCUGGGAACUGCAUCCAAAACUACUGAGCUAGAGUACGGUAGAGGGUGGUGGAAUUUCCUGUGUAGCGGUGAAAUGCGUUGAUAUAGGAAG
RNAcentral lists this ribosomal RNA (700 nucleotides) under uncultured bacterium. RNAcentral's name for it is "bacterial SSU rRNA". It matches the Rfam family "Bacterial small subunit ribosomal RNA", at positions 8 to 703 of the family's 1533-position model. The record is from RNAcentral.